GCGUCGGCUGGGCAUUGGCGAGCCCAAGUGGCUGUAACCCACCCGCCUUCGGGCAUUGGCGGUUCAACUCCGUCCCGACGCA
Molecule: transfer RNA, 82 nt
Filed under: Planctomycetota bacterium
Lineage: Bacteria; Pseudomonadati; Planctomycetota
Description: tRNA-Tyr
Source: RNAcentral